UCAGCAAUUCCAAUUUUGCAGGACCUC
This 27-nucleotide non-coding RNA is filed under the name Rattus norvegicus (Norway rat). The record is from RNAcentral. Lineage: Eukaryota; Metazoa; Chordata; Mammalia; Rodentia; Muridae.